RNAcentral lists this long non-coding RNA (737 nucleotides) under Marmota monax (woodchuck). The record is from RNAcentral. Lineage: Eukaryota; Metazoa; Chordata; Mammalia; Rodentia; Sciuridae.
AUAGACACACUGGCCUUCCAUUAAGCUGGAAGUUCGGCUUUAGCUUGGAGUAACUGACCUUGGGGCCUCUGCUCCCUGAUCACAUAGUUUUGAACCACUACUGACAAUUUAUUUAUUUAUUUAUUUUUGGUACUGGGGACUGAACUCAGAGGUACUUCCCCACUGAGCCACAACCCUACUUCUUUAAAAGAAUUUUUUUUUUUUCUUUUUUGGUGGUGCUAGGGAUUGUACCCAGGCCCUUCUGCAUGCUAGGCAAGCACUCUAUAUCCCCAGCCCCUCCUUUUUUACAUUUUUGAGACAGGGUCUUGCUAAAUUGGUUAGGGCCUCACUAAAUUGUUGAGGCUGGCCUUGAAUUUGCAAUCCUCCUGUCUCAGUAUCCGGAGUUGCUGUGAUUACAACUAUGCACCACUGUGCCCCCUGCACUACUGACAACUUUAAAUGACAGAAACACAAAUGUUUAAGAAUCUGGUAAAAUUACUCAAAUCUAGUGUUCACAUGUAAAGAAAGCAAGAAAAAUGUAAGACACUUUUGUAACCCACAAGUAUUACUUUCAGAAAAUGAAGAUGUAAGUUAAUGAUUUCCACAGCAAGAAAUGGUUUGCUAAACUAUCAAUCAUACUUGAACACAGCUAGGUGUUGGGGCUGGGGGUGUAGCUGAAUACCUGCUUGGCAUGUGGGAGGCCCUAGGUUCCCCAGGACCCAAUAAAUAUAUGAAUAAAAUAAAAUAACAGAUCUCAG